Molecule: unclassified non-coding RNA, 625 nt
Filed under: Hevea brasiliensis (rubber tree)
Lineage: Eukaryota; Viridiplantae; Streptophyta; Magnoliopsida; Malpighiales; Euphorbiaceae
Source: RNAcentral
GUCACUGAUGAGCACUUGAGGCAAGUAUUCAGUCAGUAUGGAGAGCUGGUGCAUGUUAAGAUACCUGCAGGCAAGCGAUGUGGCUUUGUUCAAUUUUCAGACAGAAGCUGCGCUGAGGAAGCUUUGCGCAUUUUGAAUGGAACCCAAAUUGGUGGGCAAAACAUUAGACUUUCAUGGGGCCGUAGUCCUUCUAACAAACAGCCACAGGCUGAUCCUAAUCAGUGGAAUGGAGGAGGUGGAGGAGGAUAUUAUGGAUAUGGACAAGGAUAUGAAAACUAUAGCUAUACUCCAGCUGCCCAAGACCCUAACAUGUUCUACAGUGGCUAUGCUGGGUAUGGGAACUACCAGCAACCAGCACCACAGCAGCCAUCGCAGCAACAAGGAGGAUAUAUGUAGAUGACAAGUUUUAUUUCUCGUGUCCGGCCUCUCCCUUCGAACGAGACCCUGAACUUCUGCUUUUCAUUUGUAGAAGAUUUUGGAGAUGUUGCUCUCAUCUUAUUCUGAAACAAAUAUUCUGUAUGACUCCGUUGACUUGAUGUCACUUGUGUGUUGUAUUUGGUGUUAGAGGUUUUGCGUGUUGUCUUAUUUGUUUUUUUCAUAUGAUCAUAUCUAUCACGGUAGCGAG